RNAcentral lists this long non-coding RNA (525 nucleotides) under Manihot esculenta (cassava). RNAcentral describes it as "long non-coding RNA (MESC_LNC005624)". The record is from RNAcentral. Lineage: Eukaryota; Viridiplantae; Streptophyta; Magnoliopsida; Malpighiales; Euphorbiaceae.
CCAAAGGAGGCUGAUGAUGCUCCGGCUGAAGUAGCGGUUGAAACUAAAGAGGUUGUAGAAGUUGAAGAGGCCAAGACUGUGACAGAAGAGCCAACAGUAGAGAAAACUGAAGAAGAAGAAGAGACUCCUAAGGAAGAAACACCAGAGCCUGUGGUUGUUAAGGAGACUCCUAAAGAGGAACCAACAGCAGAGACCGUUGUUGAGGAGGCUCCCAAAGAGACAACCGAGGCUGCAACUGAAGCAGAAGCACCGGCACCGGAAUCCGCACCAGCAUCAGCAUCGGAAACUCCAGCUGAAGAAGAAGUUCCAAAGGAGGAAGAAGGUGAUGAAAAGAAAUCUGAAGCAGAAGUUGAAGCUGAGAAGACUGAGUAAUGAGAUAGCUCAGCAGGGUUUAAUUGGUUUUUGCAUGCCGUGCUGUAAUUUUCGUAUUGUUAGGUUGUGGUCUAAUAAGAGUUUUAUUUGAACCAAUGGGAACUCACCACAUGGCAGACAUGCAUUUGCAACAGUAUGGCGAUGUUUUGGGUA